Molecule: ribosomal RNA, 255 nt
Filed under: uncultured bacterium
Lineage: Bacteria
Description: partial 16S ribosomal RNA
Rfam family: Bacterial small subunit ribosomal RNA
Source: RNAcentral
UACAGAGGGGCAAGCGUUAUUCGGAAUUAUUGGGCGUAAAGGGCGCGUAGGCGGCCUGGCAAGUGGAAGGUGAAAUCCCUCGGCUUAACCGAGGAACUGCCCUCCAAACUGCUUGGCUUGAGUCCGGGAGAGGUGAGUGGAAUUCCCAGUGUAGCGGUGAAAUGCGUAGAUAUUGGGAGGAACACCAGUGGCGAAGGCGGGUCGUCUGGGCAGUAACGUGACGCUGAGGAGCGAAAGCGUGGGUAGCGAACGAGG